RNAcentral lists this long non-coding RNA (639 nucleotides) under Phoenix dactylifera (date palm). RNAcentral's name for it is "long non-coding RNA (PDAC_LNC020164)". Lineage: Eukaryota; Viridiplantae; Streptophyta; Magnoliopsida; Arecales; Arecaceae. The record is from RNAcentral.
AUCCAGCCGCUUGCAUCCUUAUCCCUUCUUCAAAUCCCAGUGAAUCUCCAAUGCCACGGAUUAGCUUCCCGGCAUCUUCAUCUCAACCGUGGACAACAUCCUAUCAUCUCCCAGAUUCAUCCAUAUCCAAUUUCCUCCCACAUUCCACCUUUCACUUGAUUCCUUCCGAACAUCCCAGCUCAUGAAUUCGUUUCCUCUUCCCGUUCGGAAUUGAUUCCAUCUCCACAGGAUAAAAUCAAAUCUCACAAACCUCCAAGCAUCAAAGGAUCAAGUCUUCUCAGCCGUGAGCCAUAUCCUCCCGAAACAUCCGCUCCAAAGCUUGAUCCAAGUUCCUCCCAGCUUCAACCGUGUUCAUCUUCCCAUCGCCUGCUCACUCCCAACCUUUCAUCCACAACGUCUCCUCUCAGCGAAAUAAAUCUAGGAGUUCAUCUUCAUCACCCACCGAACUCAUCCUUAUCUUCUCCACGCCAUUCAUCUAAAACCAAUAUCCAAACGAAAUCCCUUGCUCCCAGCUGCUUCAUUCUUCCGAAGCUUCUGCAUCCCAAACCGCUUCCACCCGUGACAAUUCCUCCCAUGCAUCACGCACUCCGGAUUGACCCCAGCUUCUUCCUCUUGUUCCCAGCAUCUUCCUAACCUCCC